CGUUCACUGUGAACAAAUCAGGACGCUUAGAGUAUGGCUACAUGAAUGACUCAGCGCAGUAUGAAGUCUUUGUUUUCUUCCGAAAACAAGCUCAAUGAGAGCCAUCGGGGGUAGAUCUAUCUCAUGACGAGUGGUGGAAUACUUUGACUCAUGAGAGAGAAUCUGAGGCGAAGGCGUCUACCUAGAGGGUUUCUGUCGAUCAAGGGCGAGAGUAGGAGUAUCCAACAGGAUUAGAGACCCUGGUAGUUCCUACCUUAAACGAUGCCGACAGGAGUUUGUCACUUGUUAGUGGCAGAAUCUUUGGAGAAAUCA
Molecule: ribosomal RNA, 312 nt
Filed under: Trichomonas tenax
Lineage: Eukaryota; Parabasalia; Trichomonadida; Trichomonadidae
Description: SSU rRNA
Rfam family: Eukaryotic small subunit ribosomal RNA
Source: RNAcentral